AGCUAUAUGGAUUAAUAUAUAGUUAUUUCUGCUCAAUGAUUUUAAAUAGCCGCAGUACUCUGACUGUGCAAAGGUAGCAUAAUCAGUUGGCUUUUAAUUGGAGUCUGGCAUGAAUGAAAAUAUGGGUAGUAACUGUCUUAGCAUAUUAUUUGAACUUAUUAAACAAGUGCAAAUGCUUGUAAUUACACAAUAGACGAGAAGACCCUAGAAACUUGAAUUGAUUUUUGUUGGGGCGACAGAAUUACAUUUAACUAAUUUUUAUUACAUGACGCAAGGUUGAAAGAAUAAGUUACUCUAGGGAUAACAGCAUAAUUUUAGUAGUUUGUGACCUCGAUGUUGGACUAGGUAUUAUACCCUUAAGACAAGGGUAUACCAUGCUCUGUUCGAGCAAGAUUACCUACAU
This 403-nucleotide ribosomal RNA is filed under the name Helix vladika. RNAcentral's name for it is "partial 16S ribosomal RNA". It matches the Rfam family "Bacterial large subunit ribosomal RNA", at positions 1831 to 2601 of the family's 2925-position model. Lineage: Eukaryota; Metazoa; Mollusca; Gastropoda; Stylommatophora; Helicidae. The record is from RNAcentral.